Molecule: ribosomal RNA, 253 nt
Filed under: uncultured bacterium
Lineage: Bacteria
Description: partial 16S ribosomal RNA
Rfam family: Bacterial small subunit ribosomal RNA
Source: RNAcentral
UACGUAGGGGGCAAGCGUUGUCCGGAUUUAUUGGGCGUAAAGAGCGUGUAGGCGGCCAGACAAGUCUGCUGUGAAAACUCGAGGCUUAACCUCGAGAUGUCAUCGGAAACCAUUUGGCUAGAGUCCGGAAGAGGAGAGUGGAAUUCCUGGUGUAGCGGUGAAAUGCGCAGAUAUCAGGAAGAACACCAAUGGCGAAAGCAGCUCUCUGGGACGGUACUGACGCUGAGACGCGAAAGCGUGGGGAGCGAACAGG